RNAcentral lists this microRNA precursor (171 nucleotides) under Medicago truncatula (barrel medic). Its description in RNAcentral is "MIR2619 microRNA precursor family". It matches the Rfam family "MIR2619 microRNA precursor family". Lineage: Eukaryota; Viridiplantae; Streptophyta; Magnoliopsida; Fabales; Fabaceae. The record is from Rfam by way of RNAcentral.
AAACAGUCCCCUAUGUUUUGAUUUUUUGGCAGUUUUGGACCCCCAGUCCAUUGUUGACUCGGUCAACGCUGACGUGGCACCCUAAGUGAGGUGCCACAUGUCAAUUUUAUUUUUAUUUUUUUGCCUUGGGGGUCCAAAACUGCUAAAGAAUCAAAACAUAGGGGGCUGUUU